GACGAACGCUGGCGGCGUGCUUAACCCAUGCAAGUCGAACGGAAAGGCCUCUUUCGGGGGGUACUCGAUUGGCGAACGGGUGAGUAACACGUGAGUAACAUGCCCUUGACAUUGGGAUAACUUCAGGAAACUGGGGCUAAUACCGGCUAGGAGUUCCUGCUACAUGGUGGGGGUUGGAUAGUUUCGGCGGUUGGGGAUGGGCUGGCGGCGUAUCAGCUUGUUGGGGGGGUGGUGGCUUACCAAGGCUUUGCCGGGUAACCCGACUGAGAGGGUGACCGGCGGCACUGGGUCUGAGGGACGGCCGAGACUGCGACGGGAGGGAGCAGUGGGGAAUAUUGCACGAGGGGUGGAAGGCGGAUGCAGCAGGUCCGUGGGCGGGAUGACGGUCUUAGGGUUGUAGACCGCAUUCGCACAUGACGAAGCUUGGUGUGACGGUAGUGGGUAAAGAAGCAACGGCUAACUACGUG
Molecule: ribosomal RNA, 467 nt
Filed under: uncultured bacterium
Lineage: Bacteria
Description: partial 16S ribosomal RNA
Rfam family: Bacterial small subunit ribosomal RNA
Source: RNAcentral